Taeniopygia guttata (zebra finch) is the source of this 3561-nucleotide long non-coding RNA. RefSeq lists it as uncharacterized. NCBI's taxonomy places the organism in Eukaryota, Metazoa, Chordata, Aves, Passeriformes, Estrildidae. The record is from RefSeq and is a predicted model, not a curated record.
UCACCUCAAUAACUCGCCGUUUUGCUCCAGAGCAGCAGGGUUUCGCUUGGCUCCAAGCAAACAAGACACGGCCAUAUCAUCUGCUGUUUGUUAAAUACAAAGCUGAGAUUUUCCCUUUUUUUCUGUCCCUUUUCUAGGUUAGCUUUGCCUGGGCUCUUCAUCCUGAUGCAGCUCCAUGGGCAGCCCCAGCCAGGUGGGAAUGCACCAAGAUCAAGCGGAGGUUUUCCUGCCUGGCAUGGGGGGAGUGUGCAGAAGACCCAUGAAGCGCUGGUGUGGCCCUGCUGAGCUUUGCAGGUGCUGGGAGCAGACCCAGGAUGGUCAGGUUGUGAGUAUAACACUUCUCUGCAGCAAUAAAUCCAGCGUGUGCAUUCAGAACUGAUGCACUUUUCUAUCUCAAAAAUCCUAAUCAGUUUUUAUCGGUGGCAUCACGCUUCUCUGUGUGAGAGCUGCUCCACUAUCUGCUGGAGGAGUGCUACAGUGCAGUAAAAGAUACCGGGACAUUUUCAAAGCUGUGUUUGGCUGCUCCUCUCCCCCUUGGAAGCUCCGUUCCCAGUGGGUUGUUGCCUGCAGCUGCUGUCCACAGGCACUGUGACACAGAGCCAGGCACAGAUCAGGCACAGAUCUGCUCCCUUCAGAACAUUCCCAGCUUUCAGCCAAGCUCUGUGAAGGCAAUUCCCAGGAGCAGGCACUGGCUGAGACCUGCAGCAGCUGUCCCUGUUCUCACUGUAACUCUCCAAAACUUCUCUCCUCACGAGGGUUUUUUCUUGUGCCCUGGGUGGCAAUUAAAUUGUGAUCAAUCAGUGUCAAAUAAAAGUCAUCGGAAUAUGGCUGUGAGGCUGAUUGCCUGUAACCAGCGUAAUUAGACAGCGAGGAUUUUCUUCAUUUUCUCUUUCUGCAAGAGGGCUAAAAGCCUCUGAGAUUGGAGCUCCUGUGUCUGCAGCAAGGUGAAUUCACAUCUGACCUAUUGUUCAAACACGAAUUCUCCUCAAAUCCAACCAAAGACCUCUCCAAAGAACAGAAGAGAGAGAGAUAAUCCCUGAAAUUUAUUGCCAUUUUAGGAUGUGUGGUAAGGUUGAUUUCAGGGAUGAUGGGCAGGAGAGCAGGUCUAGGUCUCAUCAACCCUGGUGUGAUGCUGGCACUGCUGUCCCCAGCCUGGGUGUCCCCAGUGUCUCAUAUCAUAGCCCUCUUCUUUGCCUCUCCAGUGACUCUGUACUGAUUUCCUCAGGCUGACAAAAGUCGGCUGUUUCCAUAUUCCCUGUCACUGCUGAUCUGUCCCUUCUCACUCUCCAAAUCCUCUUUCCAUUUCUAUCAGCAUUAAUGAACUGCUGCUGUCCCCUAGCGCCGCCAUCCCCUCACCCACCCAGAACUGUUUCAUGUUCCAGUCAGCUUCACCAGCUCCUCGGCAUCUCCCCAAAAAGUCCUUGGCAUCAACAAAAGGCCCCUGGCAUUACCUGCCACGGGGCCCUGCCUGUGCCAAGCACCACCAGGCUGCCACAGCCCAUGCACUGAGAUACUUUCCUAAGCGCUGGAUAAUUAAAAAAAAGGCAGCAAAUGGAAGUAAUUCCCACUUAGGAGGAAGGACCCGCUGGAAUUCACACUGGGAAGGAGGAUUCAACAGCUGUGCAUUAGCAUAAUGUGGAAAUGGCAUGGAGAGCAGAGCUGAGCAGGGCUGCCCCCCUCUGCCUCAGGUUUCCCUGCUAGAGGGGAAGGCAGGAGUGAGCCCAGGAAAGGGGGGUGGCUGGGAACCCCCUCAAACGAGAGCCAACCUUUCUCCCAGGACUCUUCAGUUCAGCAUGUGCCAGGAGAGGUUUCCUUUGGAAAGGUGAGUGGGAUGUGGGAGCCCUUCCUGGGGCUGAUUUACAACACAUCAGCAAUGACCCUGUUGACACUUCCCAUGGAAGGAAGCGAUUGCCUGCUCCAAGUCCUCCACUGGAGCAUGGCACAAGGAGUCUGAGCCCCCACUGCUGCCACCCCCCUGACAGCUGCUGACAUUUCUCCUUGGGCUCUGGCAUUUAUUUUGAUCCAUCUUGGGUUUGCACUUCUCUCUCAGGAUUAGCAGGCAAAUCAGCAAGAUGUUGAUAUAGAAAGGUAAACUCACCCAAAACCAGAGCCCUUGCAUCAGCCACAGCCCGUGGAGCGAGAGGGCAACUGAGGCAGCUUCAGCAUCCCAUGGGAGGGAUAGGAAGCCCAAAACUCCUGUGGGGCAGCUUUCUGUGCCCUCUGAGUGCAGGCAGAAGUCAGCAUGCCUGGCACUGACUUACCCUGAGAUGGCAUCGCUGGGCUCAGGGCUGCCUGGUGCCCUGUGUCCAUCGCUGCCUGGCACCGCAGGGGAGACAGACAGAUGGACAGACAGACAGACAGACCGCUCUGCAUCGCUCCCAGGGCACCACGUGGGAGAUGGACAGAUGGACAGACAGACCGCACUGCGUCGCUCUGCGGGCAUCACCUGGGGGACAGAUGGACGGGCAGACCCCUGUGUGUCAGAGCGGCUGGACAGACAGACAGACAGACAGCCGCUCGCUGUCCAGCAUCCCCCCGGCCGCACAUCGUUUGCCCACAGGCUCCAUCUUGUGGAAGAUGCUCCCUCGAGGAGCUGAAGUGGGAAGCCACCCCCGGUGUGCGUGGGUCCACUUGGCACUGCCAGCGUGGGAGUCCUCACGGGGUGGCUGUGCUGGCACCGCUGGCACCCGGACUAACCCGCUCUGCCUCCCUGCGCUUAACACCACGUUCCGCCCCUGUGCAGCUAAUGAGAGGAGCAAAUGUGGUGGAAUUUAUUUUAACAGAUGGAGGACAAUUUUCUUCUCAUCAUUUAUCCGACGCACCGCGCCGUACCAGCUUGCAGAGCCUCGGGCUGGGAUGUGGAGCCACCACAGCUCUGCUGACAGCGUCACCGCCAGCUCCCACCAUCCUGGCAGAGCAGCCUUUCCCUGUUGUACCUCUCAGCUGUGGGAUAAAACCAGGUGGUUUUCAGGCUGCCGGAUGCGCUGCCUUCCUCAGGUUUAUUUACCAUAGAAUGUGACACAGUGGUUUCACUGUGUGUGAUUUAAUGAGACGUUAGGAUGGAAUUAAUCAUGGGAAUCAGAGCUCGUGUUGAGUGUUUGGCCACGGUCUGGCAGAAGAAGCCUCACUCCCAGCCCUCAUUCCCUGACCCAGGGUGGUGCAGACCCUUGGUGCAGCAGGUGGAAGCUCUGUCAGCACCAUCACUGCCAGCUUUCUGUCCCCAAGGGGCCCUUGGCAAUCCUGCAGUUCCCCCUAGGCUGGGGACACAGCUGGAGGGACACGGUUGGAGGCUGACGCUUGUAGGAAAAUAAGACACGCAAAACUCUCAAGAGCACAUCCAAUUUCCACUCAUUAAGCCAUAAUUUCCAUCAUUUUAAUUACAUAAAAGGCAGAUAAAUGGCAAGUAUGCUCCUACUUGUGCCUUUUCUCCUAAUUAUUGGUCCUUUGCACGGGCCAGUUUGCAAUGAAUCAGCCUUUAAGCGGCGUUCACUCGGAACAUGCUCGGCUUUAUUUGAAUUAUCUUGUUGGAUGAUCAUUCCCCAGAACAUAAUAAAACAAACA